This 323-nucleotide ribosomal RNA is filed under the name Aphaenops leschenaulti. RNAcentral's name for it is "partial 16S ribosomal RNA". The record is from RNAcentral. Lineage: Eukaryota; Metazoa; Arthropoda; Insecta; Coleoptera; Carabidae.
UUAAAUGGCUGCAGUAAUUUGACUGUACAAAGGUAGCAUAAUCAUUAGUUUUUUAAUUUAAAGCUUGAAUGAAAGGUUGGACGAAGUAAAAUCUGUCUCUUUAUAAUAAAAUUAGAAUUUAAUUUUUAAGUUAAAAAGCUUAAAUUUUUAUAAAAGACGAGAAGACCCUAUAGAGUUUAAUAAUUUUUUAGAAAUAAUUUAUUUAGAUUUUAUUAUUUUAAUUUUUUAAAAAUUAUUUUAUUGGGGUAAUAAUAAGAUUAAGAUAAUUCUUUUUUUUUAACCAUUAAUUUAUGAAAUAAAUGAUCCAUUUUUUAUGAUAUAAG